AGAGUUUGAUCCUGGCUCAGAGUGAACGCUGGCGGCAUGGAUUAGGCAUGCAAGUCGAACGUGAUCCUUUUCUUCGGAUAAGGUGAAAGUGGCGCAAGGGUGAGUAACACGUGAGUAACCUGCCCUCGAGUCCGGGAUAGCCCUGGGAAACCGGGAUUAAUACCGGAUGCGGUUUUCCCGCGAUUGCGGGGAGGACCAAAGAUUUAUCGCUCGAGGAUGGGCUCGCGUCCUAUUAGCUUGUUGGUGAGGUAACGGCUCACCAAGGCUGUGACAGGUAGGUGGUCUGAGAGGAUGGUCACCCACACUGGGACUGAGGCACUGCCCAGACUCCUACGGGAGGCUGCAGUCGAGAAUCAUCCGCAAUGGGCGAAAGCCUGACGGUGCAAUGCCGCGUGAGGGAUGACGGCCUUCGGGUUGUAAACCUCUGUCAGGAGGGACGAAGAAGUGACGGUACCUCCAGAGGAAGCCACGGCUAACUACGUGCCAGCAGCCGCGGUAAUACGUAGGUGGCGAGCGUUACUCGGAUUUACUGGGCGUAAAGGGUCCGCAGGGGGUUUGCCAAGUCCGAUGUGAAAUCUCAUGGCUCAACUAUGAAAUUGCAUUGGAAACUGGCGAGCUAGAGUCUGCGAGGGGUGAGCGGAAUUCCUGGUGUAGCGGUGGAAUGCGUAGAUAUCAGGAAGAACACCGACGGCGAAGGCGGCUCACUGGCGCAGUACUGACCCUCAGGGACGAAAGCGUGGGUAGCAAACAGGAUUAGAUACCCUGGUAGUCCACGCUGUAAACGUUGUGCACUAGAUGUGGGUGGACUUUGGUCCUGCCCGUGUCCAAGCUAACGCGUUAAGUGCACCGCCUGGGGACUACGACCGCAAGGUUAAAACUCAAAGGAAUUGACGGGGGCCCGCACAAGCGGUGGAGCAUGUGGCUCAAUUCGAGGCAACGCGAAGAACCUUACCUGGGCUUGACAUGUACCGGACCGCCCUGUGAAAGCAGGGCUUUCUCUUUGAGACCGGUACACAGGUGCUGCAUGGCUGUCGUCAGCUCGUGUCGUGAGAUGUUCGGUUAAGUCCGGCAACGAGCGCAACCCGUGUCGUCAGUUGCCAGCAGGUAAUGCUGGGGACUCUGACGAGACUGCCCGUGUCAAGCGGGAGGAAGGAGCGGAUGACGUCAAGUCCGUAUGGCCCUUACGCCCAGGGCUGCACACGUGCUACAAUGGGUGGUACAAUGAGAAGCGAAACCGCGAGGUGGAGCCAAUCUGAUAAAACCAUCCCCAGUUCGGAUUGGAGUCUGCAAUUCGACUCCAUGAAGCCGGAAUCGCUAGUAAAGGCGUAUCAGCAACGGCGCCUUGAAUACGUUCCCGGGCCUUGUACACACCGCCCGUCACAUCAUGGAAGCUGGCUGCACCCGAAGUCCACGGCCUAACCCUCGGGAAGGAGUGGCCGAAGGUGUGUACAGUAACUGGGAUGAAGUCGGAACAAGGUA
This 1479-nucleotide ribosomal RNA is filed under the name metagenome. Its description in RNAcentral is "bacterial SSU rRNA". It matches the Rfam family "Bacterial small subunit ribosomal RNA". The record is from RNAcentral.